CACAACCAUUUACGUUGAAUGUUCUUCUGUCCUAAGAGAACCUAUCCUAAGAGAGGACCUAAUAGCAUUUUUGGCAUGAAGGGUUGGAUAGUACCGGAAGGUAUUAAACGGACCAGAAAUAGCUAAAGUUUUGUUCAUUAUGCUGUCGAGUCAUCUUUUAUUACUUGAUAACAAACUUGCUCUCGUAUUAAAGCCAAAGUUAAACUAGUGAUAUGAAGCAACUUACAUUGCUUGCAAGCUUGACCACUAUAGCUUGAAUGUAAUUCUUGUACUUUGUUCGCAGCAGGACCGUCACAGCAUUCAUCUGCUCCCCAAAGGUAGAUUUAUGAUCUCCAUUUACAGGCAUAUGAUCUCCAUUUACAGGCAAAUAGGAGUUCCAUGACUUC
RNAcentral lists this long non-coding RNA (386 nucleotides) under Olea europaea (common olive). RNAcentral's name for it is "long non-coding RNA (OEUR_LNC001979)". Lineage: Eukaryota; Viridiplantae; Streptophyta; Magnoliopsida; Lamiales; Oleaceae. The record is from RNAcentral.